Molecule: long non-coding RNA, 876 nt
Organism: Asparagus officinalis (garden asparagus)
Lineage: Eukaryota; Viridiplantae; Streptophyta; Magnoliopsida; Asparagales; Asparagaceae
Exons: 2
Source: RefSeq, a predicted model, not a curated record
UCAUUGACUAAGGGUAAAACAAGGCGAUGAAUGAGCACCAGAAAAUAAUCCACUGGGUUACCAUCUCCAUCCAUGUACUGAAUGGAACUUUGAGGGAAAUUUUAAGGAAAGAUCCUCAACAUUAAUUUACUAGUUUCAUCCAGCACGUAUAAAUUCAUUACACCGCUUCAAUAAUUAAAGCCACGUAUUCUGACAAUUCAUACAAUAGUUGCUUACUUUAGUUCCGUUCAUUUUAAGUUCUGACGUCUCCUUGAAAACCUUCUUGAUGGCAUUAACCUCUGCCAAAUCUCCAGCAAGUGUUGAUGUUGCAUGACAGUUAGCAUAAUUCACCUGAGAAAUAUAAAGAUUUCCUCGUCAUCAAGAAUCCACCAUGCCACAAAAAUCGUACAAGGGGAUAUGAAGAUAUGAGUUACGCAUGUAGUAUUGCCAACCUCUUCCGGGGACACUCUGGCAUCUUGCAAGCUUUUCUCUAUGCAGGAAGAAACGCCAAGACCAUCAGAUCGAGGAUCAGUCAUAUGAUGAGCAUCACAUGUUAUCGCCCCCCCGAGGAGGUCGUUGAUUUUGUACAGGGGUGCGGCAGAGGCAUAAGAGCAUCUGGAGAAUUGUCAGUCUGCUUAGUCGCAAACACGCUGCUUAUUGACCAAAUUUUCAUUAAGCUUCAGACCAUUUAUCAGUUCUGAUACUUUUUAUUCGAAUUAUUGGUCAUUGGUCCCUCAUGAGUUUGAGACGGAUACUGGCGCACAUACACAAUCAAAUUUUCUUUCUUAAGUAGGACUUGCUAAAGAUAAUCUGUAAUGUGUAUAUAUUUCUACAACGUAUGAGAAGACUCUUAAAUUAUAAGCAGCAUCAUUUACUAUCAAAAGAAAAGCAUUAGUA